AGAGUUUGAUCCUGGCUCAGGGACGAACGCUGGCGGCGUGCUUAACACAUGCAAGUCGAACGCUGANNNNNNUUCGGUGGGGGAGAGUGGCGAACGGGUGNNUAACACGUGGGCAACCUGCCCCCGGCUCUGGGAUAACUCCAAGAAAUUGGGGCUAAUACCGGAUAUCCACGGCUGGCCGCAUGGUCUGNNGGUGGAAAGGGUUUCCGGCUGGGGAUGGGCCCGCGGCCUAUCAGCUUGUUGGUGGGGUAGUGGCCUACCAAGGCGACGACGGGUAGCCGGCCUGAGAGGGUGACCGGCCACACUGGGACUGAGACACGGCCCAGACUCCUACGGGAGGCAGCAGUGGGGAAUAUUGCGCAAUGGGCGGAAGCCUGACGCAGCGACGCCGCGUGGGGGAUGACGGCCUUCGGGUUGUAAACCUCUUUCAGCAGGGACGAAGCGCAAGUGACGGUACCUGCAGAAGAAGCACCGGCCAACUACGUGCCAGCAGCCGCGGUAAUACGUAGGGUGCAAGCGUUGUCCGGAAUUAUUGGGCGUAAAGAGCUCGUAGGCGGUUGGUCGCGUCGGCUGUGAAAACCCGGAGCUCAACUCCGGGCCUGCAGUCGAUACGGGCCGACUUGAGUGUUGCAGGGGAGACUGGAAUUCCUGGUGUAGCGGUGAAAUGCGCAGAUAUCAGGAGGAACACCGGUGGCGAAGGCGGGUCUCUGGGCAACAACUGACGCUGAGGAGCGAAAGCGUGGGGAGCGAACAGGAUUAGAUACCCCAGUAGUCC
RNAcentral lists this ribosomal RNA (775 nucleotides) under uncultured bacterium. Its description in RNAcentral is "bacterial SSU rRNA". It matches the Rfam family "Bacterial small subunit ribosomal RNA", at positions 8 to 796 of the family's 1533-position model. The record is from RNAcentral.